Molecule: long non-coding RNA, 1067 nt
Organism: Herpailurus yagouaroundi (jaguarundi)
Lineage: Eukaryota; Metazoa; Chordata; Mammalia; Carnivora; Felidae
Exons: 3
Source: RefSeq, a predicted model, not a curated record
GAUGCCAAUGGUGAGGCGAUCAGAUGGUAGCAUCAGCAGACAGGAGCUUUAAAGCAGCUAUCAGAACCAUGCCCAGGGAAGUGAAGGAUGUUCACAAUAAAUGAAAGGUAGGCAGUACCAAUAGAGACAGAAAAAAAGGGAAUUAAUAACUGAAAACAUACAAGGGUUGAAAUUUUAAAAAUGCUCAAUAGAAGGGAAAUGACAGAGGACAAAGAGGGUUAACCUGAAGACGUAUUAAUAGAAACCAUCUAAUCUAAAGAAGAGAGAGCGUGCUGAGAAAAAGGUGAACAGAGCCUCAGAAACCCGUGGGAGAAUUUCAAAAGCUCUAACAUAUGGAUAAAUGUGUCCCAGAAGGACAGAGAGAAUGGAGCUGAAAAAUGGCUGAAAGUCUCCCAAAUAUGGUAAAAGACAUAAACUCAACAGAUUUAAAGUAGCUUAAUGAACUCCAGAACAAGAGAAAUUCAAAGAGAACCAUGAUUAGGCACAUCCCAGUCCCACUAACUGAAAACCAAAGAUAAAGAAACUCUUGACUGCACCCAGAGAGGAAAAACAUGUUGCACAUGGGGAAGAACGAUUAGAACAAGCAAGCCCUUCUCAUCUCUGGAGGCCAUGGACACUGAAACGACAUUUUUAAAGCACAUAAAGGUGGAAUUCAGGUGGAAUUCUUUAUCUAUGGAAAUUUUUGAUCGUGAAAAAAAGACAUUUACAGAAGAAGGAAACUGGAAGAACUUGUUGCCAAUGGACCUGCUCUGUAAGAAAUGCUAAAGCAAGUUCUUCAGUAUGAAGAGAAAUGAAAUCAGUAGGGAACUCAGAGCUUCAGGGAUGAAUGAAGGCGACUGGAAAUGGUAAAAGAUCAAAAGCAACUAGAGAUGCAAUGCUUCAGAACGCAGAUGGCAGACUUGCCAGGCAGCCAUUCACCCUUAUGUGACAGCCUCUGCUUACACUGAAGCUUGUUUCAGUCCAGGUUCACAGACAUUCUAUCAAAAUGGCACACGUUUCUCUGUGGCUUCUGUGAAAGACCAAUGGAGGAAGUGCUAGAAAACGAGGCCAAAGCAGCACCGUGGGCA